RNAcentral lists this ribosomal RNA (301 nucleotides) under uncultured bacterium. Its description in RNAcentral is "partial 16S ribosomal RNA". It matches the Rfam family "Bacterial small subunit ribosomal RNA", at positions 509 to 807 of the family's 1533-position model. The record is from RNAcentral.
CAGCAGCCACGGUAAUACAGAGGGUGCGAGCGUUAAUCGGAUUUACUGGGCGUAAAGCGUGCGUAGGCGGCUUCUUAAGUCGGAUGUGUAAUCCCUGAGCUUAACUUAGGAAUUGCAUUCGAUACUGGGAAGCUAGAGUAUGGGAGAGGAUGGUAGAAUUCCAGGUGUAGCGGUGAAAUGCGUAGAGAUCUGGAGGAAUACCGAUGGCGAAGGCAGCCAUCUGGCCUAAUACUGACGCUGAGGUACGAAAGCAUGGGGAGCAAACAGGAUUAGAUACCCCAGUAGUCCCUGUCUCUUAUAC